This 353-nucleotide unclassified non-coding RNA is filed under the name soil metagenome. RNAcentral's name for it is "partial contains 5.8S ribosomal RNA, internal transcribed spacer 2, and large subunit ribosomal RNA". The stretch from base 1 to 120 matches the Rfam family "5.8S ribosomal RNA", at positions 35 to 154 of the family's 154-position model. The record is from RNAcentral.
GAUGAAGAACGUAGCGAAAUGCGAUAAGUAAUGUGAAUUGCAGAAUUCAGUGAAUCAUCGAAUCUUUGAACGCACAUUGCGCCCGCCAGUAUUCUGGCGGGCAUGCCUGUUCGAGCGUCAUUACAACCCUCAGGCCCCCGGGCCUGGCGUUGGGGAUCGGCGGAAGCCCCCUGCGGGCACAACGCCGUCCCCCAAAUACAGUGGCGGUCCCGCCGCAGCUUCCAUUGCGUAGUAGCUAACACCUCGCAACUGGAGAGCGGCGCGGCCACGCCGUAAAACACCCAACUUCUGAGUGUUGACCUCGAAUCAGGUAGGAAUACCCGCUGAACUUAAGCAUAUCAAUAAGCGGAGGA